UACGGAGGGUGCGAGCGUUGUCCGGAAUCACUGGGCGUAAAGGGCGCGUAGGUGGCCUGUGGAAGUCUGCGGUGAAAGCCCGGCGCUCAACGCCGGGUCGGCCGUGGAUACUCUCGGGCUUGAGCUUACUAGAGGCAGAUGGAAUUCCGGGUGUAGCGGUGGAAUGCGUAGAGAUCAGGAAGAACAUCGGUGGCGAAGGCGCUCUGCUGGACCAUAACUGACACUCAGGGACGAAAGCUAGGGGAGCGAAUGGG
Molecule: ribosomal RNA, 254 nt
Filed under: uncultured bacterium
Lineage: Bacteria
Description: partial 16S ribosomal RNA
Rfam family: Bacterial small subunit ribosomal RNA
Source: RNAcentral